RNAcentral lists this long non-coding RNA (752 nucleotides) under Rattus norvegicus (Norway rat). RNAcentral's name for it is "long non-coding RNA NONRATT024456". The record is from RNAcentral. Lineage: Eukaryota; Metazoa; Chordata; Mammalia; Rodentia; Muridae.
UAACACAUUCCAUAGUACAUUGGCGGACACCCCACAGAGUUGACUGUCUAAAACCAAACUGCGCUGUGUGUGUCAGAAAUGACUUAAUCCAGCAGUAAACAGCAGGGAAUAAACUCAGGCUUACCUUGAUCUGGUAGGCAGUCUACAGGGCUAUUGGGUAUAUAAUCUUUAAAGGGAAUUUUUUUUCUCCAUUUUAGGGUAGUUGAGUUUGCCUCUUAUGGUGACUUAAAGAAUGCUAUUGAGAAACUUUCUGGAAAGGAAAUUAAUGGGAGAAAAAUCAAAUUAAUUGAAGGCAGCAAAAGACACAGGUACUCUUUCGUUUAUUUUUAAGCCAAAAGUCUUACUUGCUGGCUUUUAGAGCUCUGUCAUGCAGGUUAAUUUCUUCUCUCUCUUUCCUCCUCCCCAUUUUUUCAUAGCAGGUCAAGAAGCAGGUCACGAUCUCGGACCAGGAGUUCCUCUAGGUCCCGUAGCCGAUCCCGUUCACGCAGGAGCAAGUCUUACAGCCGAUCAAGGAGCAGGAGCCGGAGCCGGAGCAAGUCCCGUUCUGGUAGUAGGUCUCCCGUGCCUGAGAAGAGCCAGAAACGUGGUUCUUCGAGUAGAUCUAAAUCUCCAGCAUCUGUGGAUCGCCAGAGGUCCCGAUCCCGGUCCAGGUCCAGAUCAGUUGACAGUGGCAAUUAAUUAAACUGUAAAUAACUUGCCCUGGGGGCCUUUUUUUAAACAAAACAAAACAAAUUCCCAAACCAUACUUGCUA